Long non-coding RNA from Sparus aurata (gilthead seabream), 1632 nucleotides. NCBI's taxonomy places the organism in Eukaryota, Metazoa, Chordata, Actinopteri, Spariformes, Sparidae. The record is from Ensembl.
AUGUCAUUUGAGCACCAUGCCUUUACUUUUAACAGCCCUCCGAUUCUCUGCAUCAAUGUAUAUAGACCACCCCAUCACUCUACUUUUAUCAGUGAAUUUUCUGACCUGUUAUCAAUUAUCCAUACCUCUUAUAGCAGGAUUUUAAUAACUGGUGAUUUUAAUAUACACAUUGAUGUUACCUCGGACCCGAUAUCCAGAGAGUUUUUAAAUCUUUUGAAUUGUCUUGAUUUUAAGCAGCACUUCAUGCAGCCGACUCACAACAGAGGACACACCCUGAACCUGGUCAUAACCCAUGGCCUGUCCAUCGGUGUGUCCUCUGUUGCCGACCUGGCUGUGUCUGACCACUACUGUGUAUUUUUUAACAUCACCAGUUUUAACCAAGGGGAGGCCCCGGUGAGAACAGUGAGGAGGCGCUAUAUAACUUCUGAAGUGGCUGCAAAUUUCAUGGGGAUUUUACAGAGCACUCCUGCUGAAAUUUUACCUGCACCUUGUAAUUUUAUCGUUGAUAAUUUUAACAGUAGACUGAAGUCAACUCUGGACUCAGUAGCUCCACUUUUAACAAAAACAAUAAAAAGAAAACCUACACAACCGUGGAGAAAAAACAAUGAAAUCAAUGAACUGAAAAGAAAGUGCAGGAGUGCAGAGAGAAGAUGGAGGAAAAAUAAACUGACAGUUCAUUACGAGAUUUUACGUCAACAACUCAAAAGCUACAAUAAUGCAGUCAGAAAGGCACGAAUUUCCCAUUUCUCACAACUCAUCACCAACCAUAAAAAUAACCCCCGACUCCUCUUCUCCACUUUUAAUAUUUUAACGGGUUCUAACUCUGAUAAAGCUUUUAAGACACCCACAGACGAUCUUUGCGAGAACUUUGCAGACCACUUCAGAACCAAAAUCAAGGACAUCAGAUCCUGCUUCUUAUCCCAUCAAGUUUUAUCUGUUAACGCAUCUGAACUGUUGUCCUUGCCUGAGGAAACACUGGAGAGUUUUGCCCUGGUUGAGGCAAGGACACUUGGUCGAGUAUUCUCCCAAGUAAACCCAACAACCUGCCCUUUAGACCCAAUUCCCACAUCACUCUUAAAAUCAUUUUAUGGAUUCUUUGAGGAACAGUUUUUAAACAUCAUGAACUGCUCUCUUCAGACGGGUGUCUUUCCCACUGCCUUCAAAACGGCAGUGGUGAAGCCCCUUCUUAAGAAGAGCAACUUAGACCCCAACGUUUUUGACAACUACCGACCUGUAUCCAACUUACCGUUUUUAAGUAAAAUUUUAGAAAAACUGGUUUUUAACCAAGUUAAUGACUUUUUAAACAGAAAUAACAUCUUAGAGAAACAUCAGUCUGGUUUUAGGAGAAACCACAGUACCGAGACAGCACUUUUAAAGAUUUUAAAUGACAUCAGAUGGAAUUUAGAUAACAAAAAGCUCACAGUGUUGGUUCUACUGGAUCUAAGCGCUGCUUUUGAUACAGUAGACCAUCACAUUUUAUUAAACAGACUCAGCCAUCUGGUCGGCCUCUCUGGUACUGUCCUCAACUGGUUUUGUUCCUAUCUCACAGAACGAUGCUUUUAUGUAAGUAUGGAUACAUGCUCCUCAGGAACCCAUGAAAUUGGAUGUGGGUUCCCCAAGGGUCAAUUUUAG